RNAcentral lists this ribosomal RNA (253 nucleotides) under uncultured bacterium. RNAcentral describes it as "partial 16S ribosomal RNA". It matches the Rfam family "Bacterial small subunit ribosomal RNA", at positions 524 to 776 of the family's 1533-position model. The record is from RNAcentral.
UACGGAGGGUGCAAGCGUUGCUCGGAAUUAUUGGGCGUAAAGGGUAGGUAGGUGGUCUCAUUUGUCUGGGGUGAAAGCCUUGAGCUUAACUCAAGAAGUGCCCCAGAAACGGUGAGACUGGAGUCCUGGAGAGGGUCGUGGAAUUCCCGGUGUAGCGGUGAAAUGCGUAGAGAUCGGGAGGAACACCAGAGGCGAAAGCGGCGACCUGGACAGGCACUGACACUCAAAUACGAAAGCGUGGGGAGCAAACAGG